CACAUUUCUGUCUUUUCAUUUGAAUUAAAGUCACUGCCCUAAGUAUCAUGUCCUUUUGCCCUUGUCUGUUCCGUUUGCCGUAAGGUGACCCAGUCACCCGAUCUACACCCCCCAGUUCAACUCGAUCUAUGAAUUGCCCUGCAUAUAUAAACUUGCACUCUCUUCCAUUACCUGCCUUUUAUUACCAAAUCUUGUUUCCUUCAUCUUUCAAUCUGUUUGGAAAAAGAAAACUAUUACUUAAUGUACUCCAUUGUAAAGGAACUUACCCACUCUAUUUUUGAUAAUUUACAAAGUUUUGAAGAAAUGAAAUUGUUGAAAUUGAAAACUCUGGAUAAUCUCCGCCGUUGCGAGGAUGUUGACAAGUAAUUGUCGUUUGGGCAAUUUUCUUUUUUUAAUUGUCGUUCCAGAAGGACUUUAGCAAGACAACCCUUCUAACGUCAUGCCUUAAGUAAGCAAUUUAAAGCAUGAUUAAUUUUAUAUGUAAAUUAUACUUUUCUUUUUCCUUUUAAAUUCUCUAGUUAUAUGUCUGCGUUCAAUUUUUUCAUAUGACAUGAAUGUCAAGCUGCAACAUGAAUUAAAUUAUAUAUUAUUUUAAUUAUAUGAUCAAA
Molecule: long non-coding RNA, 608 nt
Organism: Ricinus communis (castor bean)
Lineage: Eukaryota; Viridiplantae; Streptophyta; Magnoliopsida; Malpighiales; Euphorbiaceae
Exons: 2
Source: RefSeq, a predicted model, not a curated record